GUACACUCCUACGGGAGGCAGCAGUGGGGAAUAUUGGACAAUGGGCGCAAGCCUGAUCCAGCCAUGCCGCGUGAGUGAUGAAGGCCCUAGGGUUGUAAAGCUCUUUCACCGGUGAAGAUAAUGACGGUAACCGGAGAAGAAGCCCCGGCUAACUUCGUGCCAGCAGCCGCGGUAAUACGAAGGGGGCUAGCGUUGUUCGGAUUUACUGGGCGUAAAGCGCACGUAGGCGGACUAUUAAGUCAGGGGUGAAAUCCCGGGGCUCAACCCCGGAACUGCCUUUGAUACUGGUAGUCUUGAGUUCGAGAGAGGUGAGUGGAAUUCCGAGUGUAGAGGUGAAAUUCGUAGAUAUUCGGAGGAACACCAGUGGCGAAGGCGGCUCACUGGCUCGAUACUGACGCUGAGGUGCGAAAGCGUGGGGAGCAAACAGGAUUAGAAACCCCUGUAGUCC
Molecule: ribosomal RNA, 448 nt
Filed under: uncultured organism
Description: partial 16S ribosomal RNA
Rfam family: Bacterial small subunit ribosomal RNA
Source: RNAcentral